RNAcentral lists this small RNA (28 nucleotides) under Bombyx mori (domestic silkworm). RNAcentral describes it as "ovarian small RNA-30653". Lineage: Eukaryota; Metazoa; Arthropoda; Insecta; Lepidoptera; Bombycidae. The record is from RNAcentral.
UGAACACAAGUGUCUUCGAAGCUUUCCG